UUUUUUUUUUUUUUUUUUUUUGUCAUCUGUAAUUAAAAUAGUACUCAAAAGAGCCAUUCUUGUGGAAUGUUGUUUACAUAAGUGAUAUGAAGCGGUUCCGUACGAAUUUUUCGUGCCAGAUUAUCCGCUUUUGCAUUUGCACAACGAGAAAUUAAAGAUAAAGAGAAGGUAGAGAACUCUUCCUUGUCGCUCUGAAAUUCCUCCAGAUACACUGAGAAGGCCGGCCAUUCGGUUGGGGAAGACACCAUCUUCACUAGGUCAGAACAGUCUGUAAGGAAUGCUACCUCUUGAUUAUCUGCACCAAUCAUACACUUCAUCGCCCAAAGGAGGGCUUCGAAUUCGGCAUGUAGCGGAGAUAGGCUUCUACGGAGGUUGGCAGCUCCCAUUGUUGAUGGCUCACCGUUUGAUGGUGUACAAAACCACCCUAUCCCGGAAAACUUGUCGCUGUCUUUCCAGGAUCCAUCCACAAAACAACGGUAUCCUGUAAAAUCCGAAUCUAGGGACACCCCCCUCGUUUGAGGCCGAUUUGGAAAUUCCACUGAAGCCUGAGUUUCAGUAUGAAGCUCCACCUGAGCUGAGUGCCACAGUUGUGCCUCUCUUUCCGCUAACCGUAAAACCUCUAACGGAUCGUUAUCCACAUUUUCAAACAAUUUUUCAUUCCGUGCUUUCCAAAUAUACCAAAUAAUCCAAGGAAAAGCUAUAGAAUCAAACUCCGAUGGUAUUCUCCAAAAUAAAUGAUCCAAGUUUGCAAAAAUAGAAUCUGUGGGAAAAGUCCCCAUAACCGUAGGAAUCUGAGAAAGUGCCCAAACCUGUCUUGCAGGAUGGCACUGGUGCAAAAGACUCUCUCUUUAAACUUAUCUUGAUCACCGUUUAUCCAUUCUUCACUUUUUAAACUAGAAGACUAUCUCAUUGAACUCAUGUUUUUGCAUUAACUGUACCUAUGUACUACCACUAAUAAAAAAAAAAAAAAAAAUUGUCGACUUAACUGACCAAAAUACAAUUAUAAAGUGUUGAAGGUAUAUAUAAGAAAUAAUAUAGUAAUGGUUAAAAAAAACAAAUUUAAGAUGGUAUUUAAGGUGUUUUUUUUAUUGAGUUAUAUCAUUCAUAAAUCCACUACGUUUAAACGAUUGAAAUAAAUCGUUUGGUUUUAUAGGGUUUAUUUAGGUUUUAAGACAAAUAAAUCAUUUUGUUGAAAGCCGUUUAAAAUUCUAAAAUAAAAUUUAAGCUUUUAUAAUGAUUUCGAAAGUUGAGUAGGCUUUACCAAAUUUAGUUUAUUAAUUACUAACUUGCUUUGUUUUUUUCUUAAUACAUCUUGAGUUGUGAAAACGCUAGUUUUAUGUGCAUAUGGUACGGUAAACCCCUUUAUCAUUUUUGAUGAAUACAAAACUAUACAUGCAUUGAAAUUGCAUUUUUCUUGGUCCUUUAUUUUGGAGAACUCAAUUAUUCUAUAAUUAAGACCUAAGAAUCAAAGAAAAUGAUAGAUUUGAAGAUGAAAGUCCACCAAUGUCGAAACUAGCCGAAAGCAAACAGAGAUAUAUGACUACUAGAAGUCAAUCCUAACUUCCUGAAGAACGGAUGGUCAAACCGGUUUUUCUGUUCUGAAUUUUAGUGACAAAGUAGAAAUUCAGAAUAUUUCACUAAUUUGUCACAAAUCCAGAACAAUUAAGAUUGAAAAAUUAUAUCAAAUAAUGAAUUAUUGAAUGAACAGACUACCACAAAAACUAUUACGGGAAUAAUGUCUAAUACGGUAAAACCAUCGCAAAAUUAACUAAAAAUAUGUCUUUCCAAAAGUUUUUCUCGUUUACUAUUAUUUUUAUGUCAAAAUUUCACGAGAUUGCAGAACACAAAAAAACUUAUCUCUACUGUUAAAGAUCUAAGCAUAGAUUAUUUGCCAGGUACUUGCAUAUUUGUUACCAUUGAUAAGUUCGCAUAAAUCUUUAAUUAAGAAACGCUUCAUAAUUCUAAAGUUCUGGCAAACGUAACUCUACAUCAACAUUGUGCAAGAUUGGUUACAUACUCCAAUAUCUUUACUUGAGACUACUUGCUAAAUAGUGCAUAUAACAAUGAGAUUAGGAAAAAGGAUGUGAGAUAGUUUUAUGACUUUAAAGGAGUGAAUUUCAUAUGGCAUUGAAGAUUUUCAAAGGAAUAAAUAAGAUCUAUGUGGCAAUCAAGAUCUCUUAUACAUUCUUACUCGUUAGAGCAUGUGCAAUGAGAGUCUCUUACAAAAGUCUCUCACAUAUAAAAAUAUUAAUAAAAUAAUCAUUAUUAUUAUUUAAAUAUAAGAGUCUCUAAAAAGUAGAGAAAGUCUCUCAUAGUCUUUCUCCAUUUUUUGAAAGACUUUUGUAUUUAAAUAAAAAUAUUGAUUGUUUUAUUAAUAUUUUUGUAUUUGAGAGACUAUGGUAAGAGAUUCUAAUUGCACAUAUUCUUAGAUAUUCUAAACUUUGUUUCGCCUAGUUCGCAUAGAUCUUUUUUUUUCUGCAUCUUAAAUCAAUAACAUUAGUUCUACACUAUUUUUUUUAUUUUCUUAGUUUAAAAAGUAUAUCUCUUUAUAAUGGUAAAACCGUAAAGCUGUAUAAUUUCGAUCAUGAUAGUAGUCCCUUUUCUCGAAAGUAUAUAUUCCAAUAAAAGGAGAUCGAUAACUCCUUUUUCCUGUUUCUCAAUUUACAUUUCACUCUUGAAAUUAUAUUUCCUUCUAUAUAUCAGAACUUUGUAUAUCAAUAUUCUGUCAAAAAAAAAAAGCUUUGUAGGACACCGUUAAUAAAAAAAAAAGUGAAAACAGGGACGUAGGCAAUAUGAAGCAUGCACGUGGGCCCCAAAAUCAGAGUGAGAUAGCUUUGACCACACAAAAUAGACGCAUAGGUGACCGUGACUAGGUGUAACGCAUCCUCACACCUUUUAUGUUUUCCAUUUUUACAUUCUUCCGUUUGGAAAGAAAACAAUUUUUGUUUUCAUGUUCAUUACUAUAAAUUUAUUAAACAGAAAGUUAGGAGUUUAAAAAUUUAUGAAAUUUGAAGUCUAGGUACUUAGGGAUUAUUACGGAUUUUGUCUUUUUUUAUAAUGGCAUUUAUAGAUUUUGCCCUAUUUUAGAUAGUUUAUGGAUUUUGCCCUUUUUUAACACUUAAAAAUGUACGUAUUUAUGAUUUUUUUACAAACAAAUGGAACCGACUAAACUCAAACAUAACGAAUGAAACGCAUGUUAAAUCAUAUUUUUGGAGCCUAAAAAAUGGCAAAAUCUAUAAACUAUCCAAAAAAUGGCAAAAUCCAUAAAUGCCAUUAUAAAAAAAGGCAAAAUCCAUAAUUAAUUCUAAGUAAAUUAGAUCGAAUUACCAGAUUAUUAAAAUUUGUUUUUUUUUCGUCACACUUUCAUCGGUGUUAAAUGUGACACUUUGACACAUCGCUUUCUAUGUGAAAUCUUCAAAUAUAAGGAAUCACGUUAUUUCUUUAUUUUGUGUCUAUGUUCUUUAACGUUUGGUAACCCCCAAUAAUUGCAUGUUUCGCCACAAAUAAAUAGUUGAAGUCAAUGAAAACAACAUUCUCUAUAGUUUAAAACUUAGCAACAAAAUAAAAUGAACGACUUGCUGAUUAUCUGCUACCGCAAAUUUGACAUUACACUUCGAAACAUCGCAUGCACUUUAAACGAAAAUCGACCGCAUCUGCAUCUAAAUUCCCACAUAUGUGGUUCGUUGGAUCCUCGUAGAUUGUCGGGAAGUUCGAAACUCUCUCUUUAACUCGCAAACUCUAAUUGAUUCCGCUUCCUUAGUUAAUGCUUGGUUUGUUGUUUUGAUGAUAUGGUUUGCUCAGUUGGUUCUUUCCCACUUUUUGUAUUGGGCUGAAAGCACAGUAAAAUAUGUGUAGAUAAAACUGUCAUCAAACGAUCAUAUAUCAUAUCAAACAUAAUCCACAUAAAACAUGAACGGAGAGAAACCUUAGCUGAUUCUAAAUAUAUAGUAGACUUAGUAGUGACUUAAAUAAAUCGAAUAGCAUGUUAUUCGUGUCUUAUAUGAUAAACGAGUUUCUUAAAUCUCAUAUUUAGAGAAUAAUGUGUAAAUGAAUCGAACUCAUUUGUCACGUACUUGCCCAAGUCAGUGAUAUAUACAAUAGAUCUAAUUAGCACGUACAAUGCCACUUGUUGGUUCGAAUUCGUCCACUUGUCCCAUAAUAUUCAGGUUGAAGUUAACACAUUAUUGGUUAAUUAAUUGAAAAAAACAAACACACAAUGAAAAAAAGAGGCGCGUGGGAACGCGUGAGGAGAAGAAAAAUGUUGAAGAUCCAAUGUGAGAAGAGAGAGACAUGGAGAAUCCUUUGGAUUGGCAAAGACAAACCCCAAGGUUUAGUGCAGUGUUCUUCUCCAUUGAGCCAAGUGACCAAUAAUCCCAUUUAAAUGAUUAUAUAUAUAUAUAUAUAUAUAUACAUAUUUAUAUGUGUCGAUUAUAACGACAAUUAAGUAAAUACAAGGAAAUUUAGACAAACUGAAUCUUGCUUGGCCUUCAUCGAUAAACACAAAGUUAUGUGUAAACUUACGAUUAAUUUGUUUCUUGUAAUCACGUUUUCCAACCAUAUGAUUAUUAGCUUAACUAAUUAAUAACGUUACAUUCGAAAAAUUCAUUAAUUCUCACCUGUCCAUUAAUCUCUUUCGUUUGCUAAUAAUGGAUCCUACUUUUUUUUUACGAUAGUAAUAUUCUCGUACACGGUAAAAUAGAAAGAACAAACAAACGAUGAAGGAUUAAUUUCAUGAAUAAUUCAAAAGGUAAUUAAUGUGAACAUCCACUUGGUGUUCAGUAAAAUUAGUCAAGACUGGAGAAUAUAAUUCAUUGCUCAUCAAGUCCAAGAUCCUCAAAGAUUCUUCCGGAUUAUAUGCAUGUUAACAUUUUCUAUACGUAAACAUACUUCUUUUCUUUUUUUAAGUACGUAGGCUUACAUACAUACAAUUUUAAGAUACGUACAUGCAUGUAUUAUGUAUACAUAGUAAACAUAUAGUUUUUUUUUUCUCAAUAAUUAGCAAGUACCAUAAAGAGAUAAAAUAAUGAAAACCUUAAAAUCAUUCAAUCCGAUUAGUUUUAGAUUCUUCUAUUAUUGGGUUGAAAAUAUCGUCCAAGUAGUACGACACAUCACACAUACGAAGAAAAUGUAAACGUCUCCGCGAAUUAGUGUAGUGUAUGACUUGUUCAAAUAAUUGGCUGGAAGUGAUAAUCAUAGUACUAUCACACAUAAUUUUUUAUACCAUUCUUUAAUUAUGAUCCUUAAAAACCAGGGUUAUUGAUUUCAGCACCAAGGUUACGUUGUUUUGUCUCAAAAAUUGGUGAUUAGAAAAUGAGGGUUGUGAUUAAAUCUUUUUCGAAUAAAUAAAGUAAUCAACAAUUUUUAGACCGUGAAUUGUGUCGUAUCUGACGUCAAGAUCAUCGAAUUAUUAAAAUUAUUACUGCCAAUGCCAAGAAGUUCCAUUAUUUACCAUAAUUAAAAAAAAAAACUAUUUUAAUCAGAAUAUUUAACACGGUGUUAUAGUGAUAAUCAAGGCCAGCUCAAAAUCCAACAAUCUAUAUAUACAUUUUUGGAGUACACUUAGCAAAUAAAUCCUGGAGUUGAGAAGUAUUUACAAGGAAUGCCAUUGGUGGGUCGGGUCAAUUUAAAGAUUUUGCACCGGAAAUAUUGAAACAGAUCUUUCCUUAUAUUUCUGCAAAAUAUUUGUUAAUAUCCAAAACCAAAAACUACAUUAAAUGGUUGCAUUAUUGAUUAAAUUUAAUCUAUUAUUUAAUUACCUAAACAACUAACUGGAUUUUAUACAACUGAUCGAAAUUUUAGAGUAUGUGCAUCACUUACUAUUAACACAUUUUUUUGAAAAACGUUUAAUGCUGAAAAUAUUUAGUUUAGGUUUUGGAAAAAAUAAUAAUUUGAAAUCAAUUCGACUCAAUUUAGCAAAAACUAACAAACAACUAAAACAAAAAAAUUUCCAAUAUAAUUCGUAGUUUUAGUUGUUUAUAAAUUUUAGUUGUUUAAUUAUAAUUCUCUAGAUAUUCAAAAAUUUUAAAUUGCCUAUUCUCUAGAUAUUUAGUUGUUUAAAAAUUUUGCUGUUUAAAUUUAAUUGUCUAAAAUUUUAGUUGUUUAAAAUACUUUUAAUUUUACGGGACGGGGUUAGAUGGUGGGACGGGUUUGGGUCGAUAUUAAUACGAGAUGAUAUAAUACGGGUAAAAUCCUAGAUAUAACAAUCAAAAUACAAUUAUAUCAUCUUAAACACUAAACAAAACAAACAAAAUUAACAAAAAAAUAUAAUUUUAAUUUUAAUUUUUUUAGUUAUAAAAAAUCGAUCCGCGGUGUACCGCGGGAUACCUCAAACAUAGUAAUUGUACACUAAAUAAUAUAUAGAUAUACAAGUUAUACAUUUAGAAAAUUCAAAAUAUUAGGUCAUAUAUAUAUAGUUUGUCUACUAAAAAAUUACAUUAUGAUUUUUUAUUUUUAAAUAUAGCCCCGCGGUUAAAAUCUAGUUGUUAACAAAAACAGAUUGGGUCCUAAAAUAUAGAUAGAUUUUGUUGGGAAUCAUGUGCUGAAGCAUAAGUGAGCCUCUCCUACAAUACAGUCCUCGAUUUAAUGUGAAAGUACUAGUUUAUUUGGGGUCAAGUAAUGGGUUGGCCCUUCCCGUUUGGUUAAAUUAUAUCAAAAAAUCAUUUGAAAACAAAACCAAACUUUUAAUCAGUUUUACAGCUUUUAUAUCAAAGAAUCAUAACUAAACUUUCAUGGAGCACUUUUUUCACACACACACACAUAUAUGUAGUUUUCCAGAAAAUAUGUAUAUAUAUGAGAAAACCAAAAUGAAGUAGAUUCAGUUUUCUUAAGAAAAGAGGGACAUUUGUUGACAUAAAAAGAGGAUAUUUUUAGUGACUGAAUAACCUAUGGUUGAAAUUUACUACAUAUAAUAAUUCACAUAAUAAUAAAAACAUGACAUUUAGGGGUUAUUACGGAUUUAUGGCUUUUUUGGGUCCAAACUUUCAAUAUGGGAACUAGUUACCCAGUCUUACAAUAUUAGGUAUUUUCUAACUAAGGAAAAGACUUUUUUACCCCUGUAUUCUCUAUCUCUUUCUCCUUCUUCUCCCAAACCACAGCCACCGUUUCUUCUCUUCCCUGUAUUUUCCGAUCAACACUUCUACGUUAAAUCCAUCACCUUUAACUUCAUCGACACCAUCGAUAAACACUAAACAUCUCCACCAACAACAUCAUAUCAGAGCUCCGAUGAAUUCAAUAAUUAAUUGUGUUUUGAAUAAACAAAACUAAACCCUAAGGGAUAGUAUCUAGUAAACCCAAGGGCUCCUAUUGCAGAUCCUGGAAAAAUCGCGACUAGAACUGUUGGUGAUAGCUCCUAUCUUCUUCUUUUUUGAACAAACAGCUCUGUUUUUCUUUCCUCAUAAUAAUCCGAACGAACAAACCAAGCUCUGUUAAACAAUCUUAACUCUAACCUAUGAUCGAUUUCAUUAGUUUAAUUAUCGCUGGAGAUAUAUUAUUAUCAUCGGCCAUCGGCCAUCGCAGGAAUUGAAAAGAGAGAGAAAAUUGUCGUCAUGAUUUUGGCUGUCACAAUCGACAAUGUGAUAAGGGUCAUUUUCGUCUUUUUAUCAUCUCAUAAAUGCCUAAAAACCUAAGUCCAGACUAUCAAACCUGAAUUCGUAAGAAGUUGGUGGGAAAGUACCAAUCCGGUAAUUAAUUCUGACAUUUAUAUAAGAACGUAAAAAUGUGAGCAUGUCUAUUAGUUCGUGUAAGGCAAAUGGAUAAGUCCUUCACAUGUCCAUUAGUUGAUUAGAGAAGUUCCCUUCUCACGAUACUCGUCUCCGCAUCACAACGGUUAUCUAACUCUCACAUCUUUAAAUUAAACUCAGAACAAUAUAUAUAAUAGGGACUACGAAAAAACAGAAUUUUAUGGAGCCAUGCAUUUUCAUUCGAGACUGGAUGGUAUAUUUUCAAAGUAUUAGUAUUAUUUAUAUCUGAAAAAGGGUUUUCAAUUUUUUUUUUUUUUCAUUUUCUAAUUGCUAAAACAAACUUCAUCGAAUAGACUGUUAUAACUAUAUAUGAUCACCAAUAUCAGAAAAAUUAAUAUAAUUUCAUUGCAUUUUAUUAAUGUAAGCAAUGUUUUCUUUCAGAUUAAACUCCAAUUCCUUCGAAAUCUAUUAAAAAUGAAAUAAAAAUGGCAAUUGAAAUGGCAGUGGGAAGGUUUUAUUCAUUUUAAUUAGCUGAGCAUGCAAAACCAAUUUUCAGACGUACCAUUAAAUGAGAAUAUGCACAUACCACAUGUCGAGACCACAAGGAUCAAGCUUAAGAAUAUCUUACAGAAGCUAAAUAAUUCUUGUCUGAAAUCGUGUUUAGCACGAUCUAUCUUUCUUAUGUCAUCUGAAAUCGGUAAGAUAUAUAGAACGUAUACUUGUGAUUCUAUAGUGCAACGUUAUGUCAUCAGAAAAUUAUAGUACUCCCACAUAUUUUCUCUAUAUUUUUUAGUUUAUCAAUCUGUUGAUGAAUUUCGAAAAUUUUAGUGCAAUAUUCUUUAGUAUAAUAGAACACAAUAUAUCUUUUUAUCGAAGGAUCAGAAAAAAUUGGGUCCGGAUCUCCUGCGGGAAUUAUUUGGAAGAUCCAAAAAGAGUGGUAUUUGCUAUUUUUAAGGUUUAAAUAUAAUAGUAGGAUUAUAAACUUGAACUCUUCAAAAAGAGUAGCACAUACAUACCUUCAUUAAUUUAUACAUACGUAAAUAUACAAAAAUAUAUUAUAUUAUUUUAUGUUAUGUUUUUGGUGGAACAUUCAUUCACACCAACUUUCUAAUAUGCAAUUCACAUGUUUUGAAAAAAUAACAUUAGUUGAAUACGAAUUUCCAAUUAUUGAUUAAUUAUGUUUGAAUAUAGAAAUGUCGUUUUGAAACUUUUCACAUGAAAUAUUAUUAUGGUUUUACAAAAAUAAAUGAUGUUAAAUUUUUUUUACUUUAUCAUUUGACUAGGGAUAAAUUACAUAUCUCUGAUAAAAAAAAAGUUCAAUAAUUAAUUCAGAAAAAUAUUUAUUUUGAAACGAAAAAAAAGAUUGUAAAACGAUACUAAAUCGAAAUGGAAGAAAUGUAGACGAGAAAACCCAAAUAUAUGUUUACAACUCACCUCCUAUUUUAGAUACAAGAUAAAUUCAAGAAUAAGACUUCCGUGUAAUAAAAUAUUUGGUACACAAUUACACAUAAUUAAGCUAUUUCACGUGGGUUCUACAUACACAUGUAAGCGAUCAACUUCGAGUAAAAUUAUCGUAAAUAUAUUCAAAGUUUGAAGCUCAACUUCUAAUAAUUUAAACAAUGUAAUAUGCCUUAUUGCUGAUCAUAAUAUCCAUACGUGUACAUAUGUGGUUGUAAAAACUUAACACUAUGAACACAAAUAACGAAAGAAGCAACUAGGAAUUCAAAUACUCCUAGUAUAAUUAUGCAACGGAGAUAGUAUUAUAAGUAAACAAAAAUUAAAUUAAGGACAAAGAUCCAUUCUAGAAAGAAGGGCCACGUUUCAAAACACAGAAGCUUUAUCACCAUUAAUUAUGUAAGCAUAAUUAUGUAAAAUAAGUGCAUGUACGUUGGAAUAUGUGUAGAGCGUAAUCAAAAGCAUAAGCUCGCAUUUUCAUGGGCAAAUAAAAUGACUAGAGAAAGACACACCUUGUUACUUGUCAAGUUGUCAUGACUAUGUUUAAUAUUACAAUUGACAAAUAUCUCACUAUCUGAGUAAUCAAUACUAGUAAAAUAAAUUUUAGCUAUUAGAAAUCGAGAUCACACUUCGAUACAUAACAACAUGCAUAUAUUUCGAAAUUUAUUUGGAAAAAAGACCGCUUCCGUAAUAAGAAAGGCUUAGAAACAUAUAUAUUUAGGUAUGAAAGAAAAAUUAGAAAAACCUCAACAAUAAGAGUUAGAUUUUGAAACAUAUUUAGCCCAUAUAACAGCUUGGAAUACUUUUUAGACAUAACGAUCAUAUAUUCUUCAGCUGAAAAGUUAAUGUGCCGAACCUAUUUUAUGUAGCAAAUGCAAAUAACCAAUAGGUGGACCACUAUUACACCACACACACGUAUAAAUACACGAUUAAACACCAUUUCCGGAUAUCCAAUUCCACUCUUACUCGAUUUAUGUUUUUUUUUUUUUUUUGGAAGAACAUUACAUUUUAGAAGGUGUGUCUGUUAUACUAUGUAAACUUUUCUGGGAUGUUCUCUUAUAUUUUAUCAGAGAUUCUUCGAAAAAAAAAUAUACUAUACUAUAUGGAAGACACUAACAGACUAGAUCUUAUGCAUAAUAAUAUUUCACAAGAUAAUAAUUUUCAGUUUUAAUCACCAUUAGUUAUCACAUUAUCAUAGAGGAUGAGUGAUAACGCUUUCCUUGUUUUUACUAAAGUUUUUUUUUCUGGAAUAUAAAAAUUUAUGGAAUUAAUAUAAACAUAUUAAAAAUACGUCAGAGUGUCGAGUUUUCCAAUGUUAAUAAGUAGAGAAUGUGUGUAAAUAUCUUGGACAAGAAGUAAGAUGAUGGUUAGUACCUUAGUAAAGUAGCACUCAGUCAUUCUCAUUGACAGUCUUGGUUUAGAAGCAACCGAUGUUGGUCUUAUAAAUGUUAUGUUUCUAUGCUUUUGUCUUAGACUCUUAGUACUAAUUAUUACUGUAACUUCUUACACAACUCCCGUAAUUAAGCAUCAUUAUCGUAUGUAUAAGCUACAUAAGUUGAUUAUCUUAAUUUAUCUUGAUGGAUAUGCAAUCAUAUAUUUUCCUUUUCAGGUGACUCUAUGAAAAAUAAAAAAAUAUGAUAUAAAACUGCUAAUUUCAAAAAGGUUUAGUUGUCGAAAAUAUAUAUGGUAUAGAAAAUGUAAAUACCAUAUAUUUAAAAUUUAUUGAAAUUAGCUAUAUGUUAUAAAAAAUUUAAUAUUUUUUUUGGUCAGUCAUUAAUUUUUAAUAUUUGAAAAUUUUAGUUAUAAUUUAUACUUCUUCUUUUACAAAACAAUAAAACUAAAUUUAGUUUCUUAUGCAUAUUAAAAUCUAAUUCACAAUUACAAAUAUAGCAGUACUAUUAUAGUUGUGAUUAAGCUGUUUUUUUAUUGAAAUGAUAAGGGUUAAUUAAAAAAAAAUACUUUAAAAUUAAAAAAAAUUCCAGUUUUUUUAAGAAGAAAUUUGAAAAUAUGAAACAAUUUAAAAUGGAGAAAAUAUUUAACUAAACCAUGUGUAUUAAGAUCGAAAACAUUUUGAGUGGAAACUGAACAAAACUAGAUGUCUCAUGUCUGUUACCAUUAAAAAAUAUCGAGAAUAAUACUUUGGAAAGUCUAAAAGGGCAUUAAGCAUAAAAUUAAUAUAGAAUUAGGUACAUAUAAAUUGCGAAACACUAUUAAUUAGAGUACUACUACUAAGUAGUGUGUCUCACAGUCACAGCUUAGUAAAUUAUUUGUUGACAUGGCAGACUCAGUCCCAUACUCCAUAAUAGUCACACGUGCGACAACUUCGCAUCUCUCUCCACUGACGGUUUCGAUUCUGCCACGUCUGAUUUCUGACAUAGCACGACCGUGGGAUCAUAAUCUAAAGCAUUGGUCAUUCACUUGUAUCAGGAGUCGAAUCUAAAAAUAGUGCUAUUAUUAUUGAGUUCUAAAUUUCUAAUAACUUGAGUACAAGAAUAUCUACAUGAACCAGUUAUUAAUUAGCAAUGUAUAUUUUUUUUUCGCCUAUUAAUUAGCAAUGUACUGGCGUCACAUAUACAUGCAUAAAUUAGGGCGAUCUUUUUUUGGUUCUGAUGUUAAAAGAAAUUUUCAAAGUUGUGUCUUGUGAAAUGAAUUCCAUAGAAUUUCAUAAGAAAAUUAUUAAAAACAGAAUUGAACAUAUAACACCAAGAUAUUAAAAAUUACACAUAUAAAUUUUUAUCAAUGUAGAAUGACAUUUUAAAAAAAAUUUAAACGAUUAAAAAUAUUAUUUUUUAAAUUAUCAUUCAGAUUAAUUUUAAGUUUGCAUAUUGUAUGUUGUUGACAAAAAAAAAAUGAUAGUUGUGGAUGAAGAAAAGAACAGGUUCCACUUGUGAAAAAUAAAUUUGUGCUAUAUAUUUUUUUCAAAGUUUUGUUAUCAUUUUUGUCCGUGUAGUUAAAAAAAGAUUGACCACACCAAAAAGAAUAGUUAAUUUUGGUUUUUUUAUCAACAGCUCUUUUUUUUUUAAUCAACAGCUAUAUUUUCAUUGUUGCGGUAAAGUUGGUAGAUCUUAUGCAGUGUUCAAGAAAGCGCUAGGCGCUAAGCGGGCGGUGACCCAGUGCCUAGCGCCUAGAACGUCUAAUCGGGGCCUAGGCGAUUUUUAGGCGGUUUAGACGUUUAUAACAUAAAAUAUUAUAAAUAUGAUAUUAUAUAUAAAAGUUAUAUAAAAUGUCUAUAUAAAACUAAAAAUUAUGAAAUUAUAAACAAAACUAGAUAAAACAUUUAUUUAUAUUUAUAUUAAACAAUAUAUAAAUAUGUAUAACUAUAUAUAUAAAUAAAACUUUAAUUAAAAUUGAAAAAAAUACAUUAAACAAGAUCUAUGUAACUUUAGGCGGUCAAGACGGUUAUCUAGACGUCGCAUGAGAGCCUAGCGCCUAGUCGGGGCCUAGGCGACCGCCUAGACCGCUUUUUAGAACACUGAUCUUAUGAAAUUGGUAAAUCAAUUCAUUGAAUUUGUAUUCGCUGAAAUUGAAAAGCCCUAAUAAUAGGAGAAUUAUUGUGAAACCAUUUUCUUUUGUUUGCCUUUAAACAUGCAAGCCACAGAAUAAACUAAGCAAUAUCAUAUUGAAAGUAAUAAUUUGACUAAUUAUUCCGGGAAACCGUUUUAACAAUCUUUAACGCGAAAUUUGGCUAAAAAAGAUUUUUUUUUCCUUUUUUUUUUCUUUUUUUGUAUCGCUUAUGCAUUCUACAUAACGACGAUAUCAAUUUGAUAAUCUUUAGACUAAUAGACUUUUAGCUACAAAAUCCCAUGAUAUAAAUAUUAUUUUUCAAUAUAGGAAAUUAUGAUCUCAAAAUGAAAUUUAUGUAAUUUCUUUCAUUCAAAUUAUACAAUUUUGACAACAAGCUUUAGCACGACAACAAUUUUACAAAAUCUUUUCGUAAGUGUGCUGAUAUACUAACGAAUAUGAUAUACUAACGUAACGAAUAAAAAAACUAUUGAUUACUAGUUUAAAAAUAGCUCUUCAUUUUCAGAAGCAAGCUAACGGUUCUUUUGUUUCGACAUUAACCUUCAACGAGUAACUUAACUAAUAGCAAUAAUUAACAUUAAUUAACCGUCAUUAAUGACAUUAAUUAGUGGAGGCCACCAAGCUUACGAUUCUGUGUUUCACUACAAACAAAAAGGGAGAUUAGUGUGAGAAGACUGUCUAAAUCUCAGGCUGUUAUGUUCUUUCUUUCAGACUUAAUUAUGAUUAUUUUAAUAAAACCUGGUUUUCAGGGCCAUGCUCUUCUGGGCACGACCUCUCUCUCUUACCCUAAAAAAAUUGUAAAAUUAUCCAACUUAUGGAGACUUUGGACAUAGAUUUAUCAUUAGUCUAAUCACUGACACGUGUAGUUGAAUUCUUAUAUGUUACUUUGUAUGGUUUCAACUUUCAAAUAAGAGGUUUUGCAUGUUCGGAACAAUUAAAUAAUCAUAACAAAAUUCGAUUGUUUUAUAGAAUAGUAAAAAAACUAAUAGUUAGAUUCUUUACAAAACGCAAUUUAUCGAAAGCAAGGCAUCUUCGAAGUGGUCGUGUAAGAGUCUCGAUUUUUGCCUUUUUGUUAAAAGGUGAUUUUUAGUUAAUUUUAAAAUCAUUUUCCGUAUGUUGGUACACAAAUGAAAAUAUGGUGUGGGUUGAAAAUCAAUAUUAAAAUCAUCAUUUACAAAUACCAAAACUUUACUUUCACAAAACUAAUCACUAGUGGGAAUAAAACAGUAUAAGAUAUCACUGGUAAGUGAUAUUGCGCGAAAUUGAAAACGGAAUGGUGAGUAUAAUUUUAUAAUAAUGUAACAUAGUUAUUACUAAUUUACUAUUAACUAGUAGAAAAUGAAGAAUUAUUAAGUAAAGACAAAAUUAUUCAAUGCAACUGCAAUGAAACCCCGAGGGAAAGAAAGACCUUGUGUGGUUCUGCUAUUUCCAUGUGGCUGCUAGUGGUCCUUCAUACGUCAACUAUACUUGCAAGAAAAAUUUAAAAUCAAGUUUUAAAAUUAAAAUUUCAAGUAGUUUUGAUUGUUUUAUUUCAAUGUUUUGAGAUAGUGCUUGAGUAGUGGAAACAAUAAAACCAUUAGGAAUAGUCGAACAGACCUCGAAAGAAGCCUCGAUAAGCCCAAACUGAAACAUAUAUAUAUAUAUAUAAUCGCAUUGGUGACUCAAGAAUUAGAAAACAAACGUAAAAAUUCUAGUUUUGACAAAGCUUACAAUUUAUGAACUUACACUAACAAAAGAAAAACAAGCAAAUUACAAACCUUGCAAAAACAUUUACACCAAAAUAAAGAUUGCUAUAUAGUAAGUUUCGUUAAUUUAUUAUCCUUAAAUAACUUCUUCAUAUAUUUCAUUGAGUAAAUAACACUUCUUUAUAAUGGAAAUACAAAUAUUCACAAAUUUAACGAAAAUGUUUUGUUCACCUGUGAUUUUUUAGUAUUAAUUAUUAUCGGUGGUUACCAUUCAUCACAAAUUCGUAGUGAUGCAAAACAGAACCUUGUUGAAAAUUUCAGAACUUUGUGAAAUAUUUUAGAAGUAUUUUAAAAUUUACAAAUUUUUGGAAUUUUACAAUGGAUCAAUAAAAACUUUGAAAAAUUGUUUUUAUAACAUAUAUUGUUUUCAGAAAUUUUUGCAAGAAUAUAAAUAUGUUUCCUAUGAUAUAAAAAAUAUUUUUAACAAACUUUGGAUUUCCUUAUGUUUUUCUGAAAAUUUUACAGGUUUUGGAAAACAUUCAUAUGUUUUGAGAAAGUUUAAAAUGUUUGUCUGCCGAAACAUUGUUCAUAUUCCUCACUGAAAUGAUCAAUUUUUCUUUGAUAUUUAAACCUCUUAUAUGAAAUGAAAUCAACCCAACACCAUAAAUUCUAACCAUCUUUUAAAUCUCAUCAAAGAUUAUAAUUUUUUAAUCACAAAUUUAAUCUCUUUAACUCUAAAAUCCUAAAUCCUAUUGUCGUUUAACCCUCAUGGAUGUUCACGAUUGUCGAUCUUGCGUUCAUGUCUUCCCUAAAACAUAAGAAAAAAAAAACAAACGAAAAAAGAAAUUAAUUAGUUGAAAAAAAAAAAAAAAACUAGUUAGUUUCUUAUAACUCCUAAAAAACACUAUUCUACAAACUAUUUUCUAACAAAACGUAUUACUUCAAUACUUCUUAUAAAUAUUUUUAUUACUAACUUAUCUAAUGAUGAGAAACAAAUAUCUUGGAUUUGUAAAAUAUUUUAGGGAAAGUGUGGAGAUUAAUAAAUUAUUUCCGUAAAAUAUUUUACAAAUCCAAGAUAAUUUUUUCUUUACAUAAAAUAUCGAUUAGAUAUCUAAUUUCAUUUCAUUUACCAAAUAGAAAACUACAAAUACAAAUAGUGAAAAAACAUUAAAAUAAAUUGAAUUUUACAUAAAAAAAACUUACAAAAAUAAUACUCUGUAUAUGGAAAUUAAACUUACCAUAAUAAUACUGUAUACAUUAGAAUUAAAUUUGGUUUUGUUAAAAGGAAUUAAAUGAGUUACUGGCUUACUGCUUACUAGUUUUAGGGAAGGAGAAACCGAAUAGGGAAGUUAAUGCAGCCGACAUUUUUGACGACGAAUAGUUAAUUGGUUGUAAUGUCUCUUAAACCGUGCAUUACUUACAAUUAUUAAAGUAUUUAACAUCUUUGGAAUAUGGGAACACCUAUCUUUAAUAAACCAAAAAACAUGGAACACUUUUUUUUUUUCUUCUUCUUUCAGUCGACAAUAAUUGUUUGAAUUUUCAAUUUUGGGUUUGAAAUCUCUCGAGUCUCGUAGCCUACGACUGUUCAUGGAUAUCUAAAUCAAACCUAUAAUUUGAUAUUUUGUUAGACAUGAGACGAUGUUUAAUUUGGUCAUUUGAUCGUAAUUAGAUCCUCUUUAAUACACUGAUCCGUGGUAUAAUGAUAAAUUUUGAAAAAAAAUAUAGUACAACACUAUUAAAUGUUAAAACAUAUAGAGAAGAGAAAUUCCAAAUUUCCAACACUAUUAAAUGUUAAAAAAUAUAGUACAACACUAUUAAAUUUCCAACACUAUUAAAAAAAAUAUAGUACAACACUAUGUUUUAUGGACUUGUAAGAUAAAUGGUUAGAGGUGAUACUUUUAAGCUCGGACAAGCGAUGGAUCCGAGGUCCAUCAAAGCCCAUUUACAGAACUUGAUUUCAGUCCAAUCCAUUCAUCUAUAGAUUCUAUACUAUGAUCACUUUACUUCUUAAUUAAUAUUAACAACUUAGAUUUUAAAGUAGACAAAAAAGUAAUUAGAUUCUUUUACAUUUAAACCAAAAUACCACUCACAUUCCACCUAAUUGCGUUGUCAAAUAAUUUGACUCCACCAAAUAUUGUAACAUGCUUUCGUCAAACUCAUGAUAUGAUAUGAAUAAGAUAGAUUGUUAUUAACCAAUUUAGGUUGUUUAAUGGUUUGUACUUUGUACUAGUGUAAUACUAUCAUUGUUGCGUUAUCACUCGAGUUAAAACAUGCAUAAUACAUGUCGUUUAUUGGAUAUAGGAAACUCAUUAUCUCAUUUAGGGCAUAUCUUUGUCUCCCUCUAGUGAAAAUGUUUUAUACAUACGGUGCUGCAACAAAACUCAUUGUAAUCAUGACGGCCAUUGACCACACGGAGUCACGGACUAUCUCACACAGUAAAUCUGAACAACUCGUAGCAUAAACUGAUCACACAACAAAAACAUCAAAUCAUAAUUUCACCACAAGAAGAAACACCAGAAGAUUAUCAGUUUCUAGUUUCACAAAGAUGAUGUUUUUUUGUUUCGUUUAAAACAGGACCCACUUCAUUUGGUCCUGUCUUCAGAAAGUUAAAAAGGACACAGAGAGAGGUCUAUUGAAUCAUACAUAGAAAUUAAGGCAGAUUUUUCAUAUAGAGAUAAUUUAGUAGGUGGGAUUUUCCGUUUAGCCCAUGGCAUACUUCUGAGUCCAGCUCCGUGCAGUGGACUCGUACUUGUUCUUGUCAGUCUUGUACAUGUGAGCUAUCUCAGGCACCAAAGGAUCAUCCGGGUUUGGAUCGGUUAACAAAGAACAGAUCGAUAGCAGCACCUGUUCAUUGCAAAGCAGUUCUUAGAACAGCUCGGAAACAAACAACCAAUUUUCAUCCUCAAUGAGUCUAAGCUUAAUGCUUCAGAGAUAACUAAAAUCCUCAGAGUUAUACCUUCUAAUGGGAAAAGAUGAGCAAAAGAGGAGAAGAUAACCGAAAUGAGUCAAAGUUUAAUGAAGACAGCUCAAUGUUAUCACUUCAACCAGGAAUUAAGGAGCAAAAGCAAGUGUGAUAGAUUAUUGCUUCUGAAGCUGUUUUAAUAGAGAGUAUCUGCAUAUUGUUUGUUAUGGUGGGUUUCUAACGUUUACAGAAAAGAAGAAAAUCCGAACCUUGGAAAUGGUGAGCGCAGGACUCCACUGCUCCUUCAAGAUGUCGAGGCAAAUGCUACCGUUGCUGUUAAUGUUG
This 17588-nucleotide long non-coding RNA is filed under the name Arabidopsis lyrata. Its description in RNAcentral is "long non-coding RNA (ALYR_LNC000623)". Lineage: Eukaryota; Viridiplantae; Streptophyta; Magnoliopsida; Brassicales; Brassicaceae. The record is from RNAcentral.